ACCUCACGACGGCCUACGCGGCGCGCGAGCUACGCCCUGCACGGACGUGGCUGGAACCGGUCGCUCGGCAGCUGCAAGAUCAUCAACAUCGGCGCCGCGUACAUACAGGGCAGGCAGAGGCUGGUGACGCACUUCAGCCGCUCCACCUUCGCGUGCCACACCGAUGAGUACCUCCCAGCCGUCUUCUCGCCGCCAAGCGACGGCGCCACCGUCCCGCCCCCGGCUGAGCCUAGGCACUUCGGCCGACGCGUCCCCGCCGUCGAGCAGCUGGCAUGGGUGCGUCUAGGCGAGGCUAGGAACCAAAUGUGCACCUUGAGAACAAGUUGCAGGAUCAAAUAA
This 339-nucleotide ribosomal RNA is filed under the name Triticum aestivum (bread wheat). RNAcentral's name for it is "partial small subunit ribosomal RNA". The record is from RNAcentral. Lineage: Eukaryota; Viridiplantae; Streptophyta; Magnoliopsida; Poales; Poaceae.